Meriones unguiculatus (Mongolian gerbil) is the source of this 2391-nucleotide long non-coding RNA. RefSeq lists it as uncharacterized. The transcript has 2 exons. NCBI's taxonomy places the organism in Eukaryota, Metazoa, Chordata, Mammalia, Rodentia, Muridae. The record is from RefSeq and is a predicted model, not a curated record.
CAGACACCUCGGCAGGGCCGAGUGGAAUGCUUCGUGGCCCGGAACCAGCUGGCUUUCCACAGCCUGCACACAUAGUGCAGAUAUUAAUAGAAGGCGGAGUGGGGGUAGGGAGUGGGGGGGGGUAAGUCCAGAAGCCCUGCCCUCAUUCUUCUACAGAUCCAGCCACAACGCCAAGCAGGACGGGCGCCUUGAGAGAGAGCAAACAGAAUUGGAAUUGAAGAGAGAGGAGAGAGUAGCUGCAUCCCACUGAAGGGCCUGGGUUGCUCCACGAAGAAAGUGGCUGGUGGAUGGGCGUGGUGGUUUGAAUGACAAUGACCCCCAUAGGCUCCAAUAGAGUGGUGUAAUUUGAGAGGAUUAGGACCUAUGCGCUGUUGGAGUCAGUGUGUCACCGGGGGAGGGCUUUGAGGUGUCAGAUUGCCCAAGCCAGGCCCAGUGUCUCUCUCUUCCUGCCAAUUCCAUCCCAAUUAGUGGAACUCUCAGCUACCUCUCCAGCACCACGUCUGCCCAGCUGCCGCCAUGCUUCCCACUUUGAUGACCGUGAACUUCCUCCAAACCGUUCUUGCUUGUAUUCAUUUGCUUAUUUGAAUCUUCUCUGAAACCACUGGUCAUUACCACUAAUGAACGUUUUGGAUCUUCAUCCAUCACUUUACCUUGGAGUCGAGGAAUUGGGAUGUUAAUCUUUCAGGAUCACAUCUCGCUUCUUCAUAUUCCUCGUGCUUCUGUGACGCAAUCUAUACAUCUGUUAGUUUGGAAAUCCCUUCUGCCUUAUUUUGGAAUCUUCCUCUUGAGCAACCUCUGCUCUUGAGGACAUAAUCCCCAGUGCCACACAGUGAGGAAACAACUGUUCUACCAGCAACGCCGCAAAACCACUGAUGAUGCAGAAACACCACUGAAUUAGACCAAACUCUUCAUACCAGUUACUGUGACAAAACACCAUAACCAAAGAAACUCAUGAAAGGCCAUGCCUCCAAGCUGUUCCGCCAACUCUGCACCAACAUGUGAGCAGACGAGUCUACGUGGACCAUUCUCAUUUAAACUACCACACUCCCAUUGACUCACCACCAACGGUCAUGAGGUAGAAAAUGAGAGCUCGAAUGUAGAAUGCACUAUGAAGCUAAAAUUAGUUAGGGUAGAUGUGGAAAUGAAUGAGAUGAAUGAAUGAGUCGGGGAAAAGGGAAAACAGAGAAAAAUAAAGCCUACAUAAGAGCAGGGGCUGGAAAAAUGGCUCAGUGACCAAGGGCACGGAGCUUAUGGAGGACCUGAGUUCGGUUCCCACUACCCAGAGUGGUCUACAGUCAUUUGAAACUUCAGUCCCAGGAGUCUGACACCCUCUUACACUCCCUGGGCAUCAGGUGUGCCUGUCAUACACAUAUAAUAAAUACACCUGUUUUUCAAAGAGUGGAAGGAAUGUUAUGGAGGAAAAAUAGUAGAACUUCAGGACCUUUUUUUUUUAUUUUAGAGCAACUCCUUUUUGUUUGUUUUUGUUUUAUGUGUAGGGGUGCUUUGCCUGCUUGUAUGGCUGUGUACCCUAUGUGUGUAGGACCCAAAGGUGCCAGAACAAGGCACUGGAUCUUCAAGGUGUUGGAGUUAGAGAUGAUUGUGAGUCCCCAGGAUGAGGGUACUGGGAGUUGAAUCCAAGUCUUCCAAAAGAACAAAAAAUUUUCUCAACCACUGAACCAUCUCUUCAGCCCCAAGAAAAUAUUUUUUAAAAAGUAAAAAUAUUUCCCAAUAACACAAAAGCUUAAAAACAAAAUUAAAUAAAUGUAAGAAGAAAAAUGAAACAUAAACACACACACACACACACACACACACACACAUGCACCCACACACAGAGAAAAAAACACUGGUCCAGCAGGUGAGAGCACGUGCUGCUUCUUUAGAGUUCGGUUCCCAGCAGCCACAUCUUCUGACCUUUAUAAGCACCAUGUGCACAUGCGGUGCCCAUACAUAGAUGCAGGCCAAAUGUUCACACACCAAAUAAAAUGAACAAACCUAAUAAUAAAAAACAAACAAACAAACAAACAACCCCAGCCAGAAAAAAUAGAAGACAUAGCAGAGAGACAGAAAGAGGAUGGUUAAAAUAGGGACAAAAAAAAAAGGGGGGGGGAAUCUUUAAAAUGUUGUCCAAUAAAGUAGAUGGAGGGCCUGAAGAAAUGCCUCAGCAGUUAAGAGCACUGGCUGCUCUUCCAGAGGUCCUGAGUUCAAUUCCCAGAACCCACGUGGCAGUCCACACCCGUCUGUAAUUCCAGUUCCAGCGGGUCUGUUACCUUCACCCCGAUGCACACAAAACAAAAUUAAAUACAUUUUUAAAAUUUAGAUGACUGUAUAAGAAGGAAUAAAAAUUUUAAAUAUAUUCUUAAAUACAACAAAAUAAACAUAUUAUUAAAACUG